ACUCCUACGGGAGGCAGCAUGGGAAGUAUUGCACAAUGGGGGAAACCCUGAUGCAGCCAUGCCGCGUGUGUGAAGAAGGCCUUCGGGUUGUAAAGCACUUUCAGUAGGGAGGAAGGUAGUGUAGUUAACACCUGCAUUAUUUGACGUUACCUACAGAAGAAGCACCGGCUAACUCCGUGCCAGCAGCCGCGGUAAUACGGAGGGUGCGAGCGUUAAUCGGAAUUACUGGGCGUAAAGCGCAUGCAGGUGGUUUGUUAAGUCAGAUGUGAAAGCCCGGGGGCUCAAACCUCGGAAUUGCAUUUGAAACUGGCAGACUAGAGUACUGUAGAGGGGGGUAGAAUUUCAGGUGUAGCGGUGAAAUGCGUAGAGAUCUGAAGG
This 378-nucleotide ribosomal RNA is filed under the name uncultured bacterium. RNAcentral describes it as "bacterial SSU rRNA". It matches the Rfam family "Bacterial small subunit ribosomal RNA", at positions 335 to 704 of the family's 1533-position model. The record is from RNAcentral.